GGCGGAGUAGCUCAGGCGGCAGAGCAGUGGAAUCAUAAUCCACGUGUCGGGGGUUCGAAUCCCUCCUCCGCUA
This 73-nucleotide transfer RNA is filed under the name Planctomycetota bacterium. RNAcentral describes it as "tRNA-Met". It matches the Rfam family "tRNA". From Rfam's summary of the family: Transfer RNA (tRNA) molecules are approximately 80 nucleotides in length. Their secondary structure includes four short double-helical elements and three loops (D, anti-codon, and T loops). The record is from RNAcentral. Lineage: Bacteria; Pseudomonadati; Planctomycetota.